Molecule: ribosomal RNA, 477 nt
Filed under: uncultured Actinomycetes bacterium
Lineage: Bacteria; Bacillati; Actinomycetota; Actinomycetes
Description: bacterial SSU rRNA
Rfam family: Bacterial small subunit ribosomal RNA
Source: RNAcentral
GACGAACGCUGGCGGCGUGCUUAACACAUGCAAGUCGAACGAUGAAGCGGUGCUUGCGCCGUGGAUUAGUGGCGAACGGGUGAGUAAUGCGUGAGUGACCUGCCCCCUUCUUCGGGAUAAGCCUUGGAAACGGGGUCUAAUACUGGAUAUUCCCUUCCUUCUGCAUGGUUGGUGGGGGAAAGUUUUUUCGGUGGGGGAUGGGCUCGCGUCCUAUCAGCUUGUUGGUGGGGUGAUGGCCUACCAAGGCGUCGACGGGUAGCCGGCCUGAGAGGGUGACCGGCCACACUGGGACUGAGAUACGGCCCAGACUCCUACGGGAGGCAGCAGUGGGGGAUAUUGCACAAUGGGCGCAAGCCUGAUGCAGCGACGCCGCGUGAGGGAUGACGGCUUUCGGGUUGUAAACCUCUUUUACUAUCGAACAAGGCACAGUCUUUUGUUGUGUUGAGGGUAGGUGGUGAAUAAGCGCCGGCUAACUAC